UGGGGAAUAUUGCACAAUGGGCGCAAGCCUGAUGCAGCCAUGCCGCGUGUAUGAAGAAGGCCUUCGGGUUGUUAAGUACUUUCAGCGGGGAGGAAGGUGUUGAGGCUAAUAACCUCAGCAAUUGACGUUACCCGCAGAAGAAGCACCGGCUAACUCCGUGCCAGCAGCCGCGGUAAUACGGAGGGGGCAAGCGUUAAUCGGAAUUACUGGGCGUAAAGCGCACGCAGGCGGUCUGUCAAGUCGGAUGUGAAAUCCCCGGGCUCAACCUGGGAACUGCAUUCGAAACUGGCAGGCUAGAGUCUUGUAGAGGGGGGUAGAAUUCCAGGUGUAGCGGUGAAAUGCGUAGAGAUCUGGAGGAAUACCGGUGGCGAAGGCGGCCCCCUGGACAAAGACUGACGCUCAGGUGCGAAAGCGUGGGGAGCAAACA
This 427-nucleotide ribosomal RNA is filed under the name uncultured bacterium. RNAcentral's name for it is "partial 16S ribosomal RNA". It matches the Rfam family "Bacterial small subunit ribosomal RNA", at positions 355 to 774 of the family's 1533-position model. The record is from RNAcentral.